This 497-nucleotide ribosomal RNA is filed under the name uncultured bacterium. RNAcentral's name for it is "partial 16S ribosomal RNA". It matches the Rfam family "Bacterial small subunit ribosomal RNA", at positions 28 to 507 of the family's 1533-position model. The record is from RNAcentral.
GAUGAACGCUGGCGGCGUGCCUAAUACAUGCAAGUCGAGCGAACGGACGAGAAGCUUGCUUCUCUGAUGUUAGCGGCGGACGGGUGAGUAACACGUGGAUAACCUACCUAUAAGACUGGGAUAACUUCGGGAAACCGGAGCUAAUACCGGAUAAUAUUUUGAACCGCAUGGUUCAAACGUGAAAGACGGUCUUGCUGUCACUUAUAGAUGGAUCCGCGCUGCAUUAGCUAGUUGGUAAGGUAACGGCUUACCAAGGCAACGAUGCAUAGCCGACCUGAGAGGGUGAACGGCCACACUGGCAGUGAGACACGGUACAGACUCCUACGGGGGGCAGCAGUAGGGAAUCUUACGGAAUGGGCGAAAGCCUGACGGAGCAACGCCGCGGGAGUGAUGAAGGUCUUCGGAUCGUAAAACUAUGUUAUUAGGGAAGAACAUAUGUGUAAGUAACUGUGCACAUCUUGACGGUACCGAAUCAGAAAGCCACGGCUAACUACGUG